This 501-nucleotide ribosomal RNA is filed under the name uncultured bacterium. RNAcentral's name for it is "partial 16S ribosomal RNA". It matches the Rfam family "Bacterial small subunit ribosomal RNA", at positions 29 to 523 of the family's 1533-position model. The record is from RNAcentral.
AUUGAACGCUGGCGGCAUGCCUUACACAUGCAAGUCGAACGGCAGCACGGGUGCUUGCACCUGGUGGCGAGUGGCGAACGGGUGAGUAAUACAUCGGGACGUACCUUAUCGUGGGGGAUAACGCAGCGAAAGCUGUGCUAAUACCGCAUACGCCCUGAGGGGGAAAGCGGGGGAUCGCAAGACCUCGCGCGAUUAGAGCGGCCGAUGCCUGAUUAGCUAGUUGGUGGGGUAAAAGCCCACCAAGGCGACGAUCAGUAGCUGGUCUGAGAGGACGAUCAGCCACACUGGGACUGAGACACGGCCCAGACUCCUACGGGAGGCAGCAGUGGGGAAUUUUGGACAAUGGGGGCAACCCUGAUCCAGCAAUGCCGCGUGAGUGAAGAAGGCCUUCGGGUUGUAAAGCUCUUUUGUCAGGGAAGAAACACCGGCUCUAACACAGUCCGGGAACGACGGUACCUGAAGAAUAAGCACCGGCUAACUACGUGCCAGCCGCCGCGGUAA